GUCAGCCUCCAUGAAAAAUGUGUGACCUCCAAAAAAUCUAAAUCUAACUGCAAAAUAAGCACACGAGAGUAAUUUUCGUUCUGUAUUUGCCGUUAUUUGUGUUAAUUAUGUUGAUAGCUAUCAAUUCAUUGGUAAUACAUGCUCUAGCAAUCCCUCAAACGACCAUUUCUGGGUGUCCCAAAAUGUUGGGCUUUGGCAGCAUUGCAAUUUGCGUAUAACCAGACAUGUCAACUAACACGAAGGAAAAGUAUUAUCAACGGGUAGGGAAAACCGAGAUCCCCAAUGGAGCUGUGCGUCUAACCUUGCAAGAAGUCUCUAAGCAACAAUGGGAUACAAUAAUGGAGUGGAAGCCUCACUCUGAAAUGUGGCCGUUUAUACAUGGUCCAGGAAUCCUUGGAGGCUUGGCCGUUGUUACCGGGAGUAUAUUCCUCAAACAAUUUAGAAAAUUCUUCACCAUGGGAAGAUCCGGGUUGAUGGCGACCUUCGUACCAACAGUGGGACUCACGGCUGGUGCAGCGAUGUUCCUUCACCAUAAUCAAGUCACGAACGAGCUUAUAACAGGACAGUUGAACUGUGCAACGUGUGCUGAAGUGCGAGCCCUAUUUAUACAAUUAGGAUUUGGUUGCUUGUAUCCCUUAGUAGUGUCCCCUAUUGUUACUAUAGCCAUGGCAAAGAAAAAUAAUAUGUAUGCUAUGCCUCCUUUGACGGACUUUCGACAAGUGUUUGGACUCAUGAGACAGGCUAUGAAGCCAUUGUACCCAUGGAUAGUUGGAUUUGUUGUGCUGCAGUUUGGAGUAACCAUUUAUAUUGUUCGCAAGGAAGGACAAACAUUUGCUAAGAUUAUGAAGAACAGUCCAUUACAGCAUGUUAAAUAGAGAUCACUUAGUUUGCGCUUACGUUGAUCUCACUCAAAUGAUUAACAAACAUUAAUCCCACAAACUGGUAGAAUAUUGGAUAUUUAUAUUUCCCAAAAUAUGAUUGUCUUCAAUAAUUCAAAACGACAUGUGUUUGAUUUAAAGAAAUUGAAGGAACUAACUAACUGUGAGGGCACUUUGUUGAGUAAAAUGAGGCAUUCAAAUUAUGAUGACAAACACAGAAGAAUAAUCAUAUAAGAAUAUUCAGGUUCGAAUAAAUAUGGACUUCAUCAAAUUAUUAUUGACUUAAUGAAUAAGUGGUCGCUCAAUUAUGUCCCUAUUGUUCAAAGAUUUUGUUUAUGUGAUAUUUGCAACAAAAUGUAGUACA
Long non-coding RNA from Lineus longissimus, 1242 nucleotides. RefSeq lists it as uncharacterized. The record is from RefSeq and is a predicted model, not a curated record. NCBI's taxonomy places the organism in Eukaryota, Metazoa, Nemertea, Pilidiophora, Heteronemertea, Lineidae. The transcript is spliced from 3 exons.